GCGCGUAAAUUGCCCGAAUCCUGACACAGGGAGGUAGUGACAAGAAAUAACAAUACAGGGCUACAUCUAGUCUUGUAAUUGGAAUGAGUACAAAUUAUACUUCUUAACGAGGAUCCAUUGGAGGGCAAGUCUGGUGCCAGCAGCCGCGGUAAUUCCAGCUCCAAUAGCGUAUAUUAAAGUUGUUGCAGUUAAAACGCUCGUAGUCGGAUUUCGGGGCGGGUCUACCGGUUUGCCGAUGGGUAUAUACUGGCGGGCGCGUCCUUCCUUCCGGAGACCGCGCCUCCUCUUAACUGAGCGGGCGUGGGAGACGGAUCGUUUACUUUGAAAAAAUCAGAGUGUUUCAAGCAGGCAUGUCGCUCUUGCAUGGAUUAGCAUGGGAUAAUGAAAUAGGACUUUGGUGCUAUUUUGUUGGUUUCGAGCACCGAAGUAAUGAUUAACAGGGACAGUCAGGGGCACUCGUAUUCC
RNAcentral lists this ribosomal RNA (465 nucleotides) under Haptophyta environmental samples. Its description in RNAcentral is "SSU rRNA". It matches the Rfam family "Eukaryotic small subunit ribosomal RNA", at positions 432 to 900 of the family's 1831-position model. Lineage: Eukaryota; Haptophyta. The record is from RNAcentral.